AUGAACGCUGGCGGCGUGCCUAAUCCAUGCAAGUCGAGCGCACAGACGAGGAGCUUGCUCCUCUGACGUUAGCGGCGGACGGGUGAGUAACACGUGGAUAACCUACCUAUAAGACUGGGAUAACUUCGGGAAACCGGAGCUAAUACCGGAUAAUAUAUUGAACCGCAUGGUUCAAUAGUGAAAGACGGUUUUGCUGUCACUUAUAGAUGGAUCCGCGCCGCAUUAGCUAGUUGGUAAGGUAACGGCUUACCAAGGCGACGAUGCGUAGCCGACCUGAGAGGGUGAUCGGCCACACUGGAACUGAGACACGGUCCAGACUCCUACGGGAGGCAGCAGUAGGGAAUCUUCCGCAAUGGGCGAAAGCCUGACGGAGCAACGCCGCGUGAGUGAUGAAGGUCUUCGGAUCGUAAAACUCUGUUAUUAGGGAAGAACAAAUGUGUAAGUAACUAUGCACGUCUUGACGGUACCUAAUCAGAGAGCCACGGCUAACUACGUG
RNAcentral lists this ribosomal RNA (496 nucleotides) under uncultured bacterium. Its description in RNAcentral is "partial 16S ribosomal RNA". It matches the Rfam family "Bacterial small subunit ribosomal RNA", at positions 29 to 507 of the family's 1533-position model. The record is from RNAcentral.